GAUGAACGCUAGCGGCAGGCCUAAUACAUGCAAGUCGAACGGUAGAUCGGGUAGCAAUACUUGAUUGAGAGUGACGUAAGGGUGCGUAACACGUAUGCAAUCUACCCUCAACAGGAGUAUAGCUCGGGGAAACUCGGAUUAACACUCCAUAACAUUACGAUGUGGCAUCACAUUGUGAUUAAAACUCCGGUGGUUGAGGAUGAGCAUGCGUCUGAUUAGUUAGUUGGAGGUGUAACGGACCCCCAAGACGAUGAUCAGUAGGGGAACUGAGAGGUUGAUCCCCCACACUGGCACUGAGAUACGGGCCAGACUCCUACGGGAGGCAGCAGUGGGGGAAUAUUGCGCAAUGGGCGAAAGCCUGACGCAGCCACUACCGCGUGUGUAGAAGGAACGGCCGUUCGGUUAGGUAA
This 410-nucleotide ribosomal RNA is filed under the name uncultured bacterium. Its description in RNAcentral is "bacterial SSU rRNA". It matches the Rfam family "Bacterial small subunit ribosomal RNA", at positions 28 to 428 of the family's 1533-position model. The record is from RNAcentral.